RNAcentral lists this ribosomal RNA (253 nucleotides) under uncultured bacterium. RNAcentral's name for it is "partial 16S ribosomal RNA". It matches the Rfam family "Bacterial small subunit ribosomal RNA", at positions 524 to 776 of the family's 1533-position model. The record is from RNAcentral.
UACGUAGGGUGCGAGCGUUAAUCGGAAUUACUGGGCGUAAAGCGUGCGCAGGCGGUUCGCCAAGUCAGGUGUGAAAUCCCCGGGCUUAACCUGGGAAUUGCGCUUGAAACUAGCGGGCUUGAGUGUGGCAGAGGGGGGUGGAAUUCCACGUGUAGCAGUGAAAUGCGUAGAGAUGUGGAGGAACACCGAUGGCGAAGGCAGCCCCCUGGGUCAGCACUGACGCUCAUGCACGAAAGCGUGGGGAGCAAACAGG